GUGGGGAAUUUUGGACAAUGGGCGCAAGCCUGAUCCAGCAAUGCCGCGUGCAGGAAGAAGGCCUUCGGGUUGUAAACUGCUUUUGUACGGAACGAAACGGUUCUCUCUAAUACAGGGGGCUAAUGACGGUACCGUAAGAAUAAGCACCGGCUAACUACGUGCCAGCAGCCGCGGUAAUACGUAGGGUGCAAGCGUUAAUCGGAAUUACUGGGCGUAAAGCGUGCGCAGGCGGUUUUGUAAGACAGAGGUGAAAGCCCCGGGCUCAACCUGGGAACUGCCUUUGUGACUGCAAGGCUGGAGUGCGGCAGAGGGGGAUGGAAUUCCGCGUGUAGCAGUGAAAUGCGUAGAUAUGCGGAGGAACACCGAUGGCGAAGGCAAUCCCCUGGGCCUGCACUGACGCUCAUGCACGAAAGCGUGGGGAGCAAACAGGAUUAGAUACCCCUGUAGUCC
RNAcentral lists this ribosomal RNA (450 nucleotides) under uncultured bacterium. RNAcentral's name for it is "partial 16S ribosomal RNA". It matches the Rfam family "Bacterial small subunit ribosomal RNA", at positions 354 to 796 of the family's 1533-position model. The record is from RNAcentral.